GCAUGGGUGAAUUCUGCGUUGGCCUGACCGUGGCUGAUGGGGUCAGACACCAUGCGAAAUNAAACUCCGUUCUUAGCAGUUCCCUGUGGCGUCCUGGGUUAAACCUUAAGGCAGAAUGCCCGUGCUUGGAAUGGAUACAGAU
This 142-nucleotide small nucleolar RNA is filed under the name Salvator merianae (Argentine black and white tegu). RNAcentral describes it as "Small nucleolar RNA SNORA15 (ENSSMRG00000010722.1)". It matches the Rfam family "Small nucleolar RNA SNORA15". Rfam says of the family: ACA15 is a member of the H/ACA class of snoRNA that guide the sites of modification of uridines to pseudouridines. Lineage: Eukaryota; Metazoa; Chordata; Lepidosauria; Squamata; Teiidae. The record is from RNAcentral.